Molecule: ribosomal RNA, 301 nt
Filed under: uncultured bacterium
Lineage: Bacteria
Description: partial 16S ribosomal RNA
Rfam family: Bacterial small subunit ribosomal RNA
Source: RNAcentral
CAGUAGCCGCGGUAAUACGGAGGGUGCGAGCGUUAAUCGGAAUUACUGGGCGUAUAGCGCGCGCAGGCGGUUUCUUAAGUCUGAUGUGAAAGCCCCCGGCUUAACCGGGGAGGGUCAUUGGAAACUGGGAGACUUAGAGUGCAGAAGAGGAGAGUGGAAUUCCAUGUGUAGCGGUGAAAUGCGUAGAUAUAUGGAGGAACACCAGUGGCGAAGGCGACUCUCUGGUCUGUAACCGACGCUGAGGCGCGAAAGCGUGGGGAGCAAACAGGAUUAGAUACCCGCGUAGUCCCUGUCUCUUAUA